Molecule: ribosomal RNA, 253 nt
Filed under: uncultured bacterium
Lineage: Bacteria
Description: partial 16S ribosomal RNA
Rfam family: Bacterial small subunit ribosomal RNA
Source: RNAcentral
UACGUAGGGGGCAAGCGUUGUCCGGAAUUAUUGGGCGUAAAGAGCGUGUAGGCGGUCCGGUAAGUCAGCUGUGAAAGUCAAAGGCUCAACCUUUGAAAGCCGAUGGAUACUGCAGGGCUAGAGUCCGGAAGAGGCGGGUGGAAUUCCUGGUGUAGCGGUGGAAUGCGCAGAUAUCAGGAGGAACACCAAUAGCGAAGGCAGCUCGCUGGGACGGUACUGACGCUGAGGCGCGAAAGCGUGGGGAGCGAACAGG